This 301-nucleotide ribosomal RNA is filed under the name uncultured bacterium. Its description in RNAcentral is "partial 16S ribosomal RNA". It matches the Rfam family "Bacterial small subunit ribosomal RNA", at positions 509 to 807 of the family's 1533-position model. The record is from RNAcentral.
CAGUAGCCGCGGUAAUACGGAGGGAGCUAGCGUUAUUCGGAAUUACUGGGCGUAAAGCGCACGUAGGCGGCUUUGUAAGUAAGAGGUGAAAGCCCGGAGCUCAACUCCGGAACUGCCUUUUAGACUGCAUCGCUUGAAUCCAGGAGAGGUGAGUGGAAUUCCGAGUGUAGAGGUGAAAUUCGUAGAUAUUCGGAAGAACACCAGUGGCGAAGGCGGCUCACUGGACAAUUACUGACGCUGAUGCACGAAAGCUAGGGGAGCAAACAGGAUUAGAUACCCGGGUAGUCCCUGUCUCUUAUAC